CCGCAGGCAUCUAACGUGAACGAAAUGUGAAGGAGAAGGAUGGGGAUGCGUCUGAUUAGCUUGUUGGCGGGGUAACGGCCCACCAAGGCGACGAUCAGUAGGGGUUCUGAGAGGAAGGUCCCCCACAUUGGAACUGAGACACGGUCCAAACUCCUACGGGAGGCAGCAGUGAGGAAUAUUGGUCAAUGGACGAGAGUCUGAACCAGCCAAGUAGCGUGCAGGAUGACGGCCCUAUGGGUUGUAAACUGCUUUUAUAGGGGGAUAAAGUGUGUCACGUGUGGCAUAUUGCAGGUACCCUAUGAAUAAGGACCGGCUAAUUCCGUGCCAGCAGCCGCGGUAAUACGGAAGGUCCAGGCGUUAUCCGGAUUUAUUGGGUUUAAAGGGAGCGUAGGCCGUUUGGUAAGCGUGUUGUGAAAUGUCGGGGCUCAACCUGGGCAUUGCAGCGCGAACUGCCAGACUUGAGUGCGCAGGAAGUAGGCGGAAUUCGUCGUGUAGCGGUGAAAUGCUUAGAUAUGACGAAGAACUCCGAUUGCGAAGGCAGCCUGCUGUAGCGCAACUGACGCUGAAGCUCGAAAGCGUGGGUAUCGAACAGGAUUAGAUACCCUGGUAGUCCACGCGGUAAACGAUGGAUGCUCGCUGUUUGCGUCUGACGUAAGCGGCCAAGCGAAAGCGUUAAGCAUCCCACCUGGGGAGUAC
Molecule: ribosomal RNA, 696 nt
Filed under: uncultured bacterium
Lineage: Bacteria
Description: bacterial SSU rRNA
Rfam family: Bacterial small subunit ribosomal RNA
Source: RNAcentral